Molecule: ribosomal RNA, 453 nt
Filed under: uncultured Porphyromonadaceae bacterium
Lineage: Bacteria; Pseudomonadati; Bacteroidota; Bacteroidia; Bacteroidales; Porphyromonadaceae
Description: partial 16S ribosomal RNA
Rfam family: Bacterial small subunit ribosomal RNA
Source: RNAcentral
ACGGGAGGCAGCAGUGAGGAAUAUUGGUCAAUGGGCGGAAGCCUGAACCAGCCAAGUCGCGUGAGGGAAGACGGUCCUAUGGAUUGUAAACCUCUUUAGCCAGGGAGCAAUAGGCGCCACGCGUGGCGCGACGAGAGUACCUGGAGAAUAAGGAUCGGCUAACUCCGUGCCAGCAGCCGCGGUAAUACGGAGGAUCCGAGCGUUAUCCGGAUUUAUUGGGUUUAAAGGGUGCGCAGGCGGCCCACUAAGUCAGUGGUCAAAUCGUGGCGCUCAACGCCAUCACGCCAUUGAUACUGGAGGGCUUGAUUACGGUCGAGGCAGGCGGAAUUCGCCGUGUAGCGGUGAAAUGCAUAGAUAUGGCGAAGAACUCCGAUUGCGUAGGCAGCUUACCAGGCCGACAAUGACGCUCAUGCACGAAAGUGCGGGGAUCGAACAGGAUUAGAUACCCUGGUA